UACGGAGGGUGCAAGCGUUGCUCGGAAUCACUGGGCGUAAAGCGACCGCAGGCGGCCUGACAAGUCGGAUGUGAAAGCCCUGGGCUCAACUCAGGAAUUGCAUUCGAAACUGGUAGGCUCGAGUACGGGAGAGGGGGGUGGAAUUCCUAGUGUAGAGGUGAAAUUCGUAGAUAUUAGGAAGAACACCGGUGGCGAAGGCGGCCCACUGGUCCGGUACUGACGCUGAGGUGCGAAAGCGUGGGGAGCAAACAGG
RNAcentral lists this ribosomal RNA (253 nucleotides) under uncultured bacterium. Its description in RNAcentral is "partial 16S ribosomal RNA". It matches the Rfam family "Bacterial small subunit ribosomal RNA", at positions 524 to 776 of the family's 1533-position model. The record is from RNAcentral.